Long non-coding RNA from Nothoprocta perdicaria, 690 nucleotides. RefSeq lists it as uncharacterized. The record is from RefSeq and is a predicted model, not a curated record. The transcript has 2 exons. NCBI's taxonomy places the organism in Eukaryota, Metazoa, Chordata, Aves, Tinamiformes, Tinamidae.
ACAGAGGUCGGGUCUCUGCCGAGAUUCCUGAUACGAUGGCAGUCUUGUGGAUGAGGGGUUGACUUGGCAGUCAGCAGAGCUGAAGAUGUUGACAGCUUCCAUGGGAGCAAGGAGCGGUAACUCACCACGUGGGAGCUAUAAACACCUCCCCAAGAACAUGCUUUGAACACUCAUGUCUGUGGAAAACGCUUGGGUGGAAAGAAUGAGAUCUGAACUGCUUCAAGAGCCAAGAAAAGGCUGGAGUCUCAUGGCAGUCAUGGAAGAGAAGUUCUGAAGUGGGUUAAUCCUUUGCUCUUUCCACAGUCCAUAUUGUGAAGCUGUUCCAUGGUUUAAAUGAGUCUCCUUGGACUUGACUCUUAGGGCAUUGCUGUUUUUCCCCCUGCAAUGAACUGUGAAUCACAAAGAUCUGUGGGGGACAAGUCAUCUGGAAUGGGGUGGGCAAAUAUGGUCCUGGUAAGACUGUGGAUAUUUGUGAAAUAAAGGAGCAUCCUUUAUUUCUAUUGGCAAGCUUUGCUGAGGCCUGAGCUCCAAGUUUGGUCUAGUGUUACCUUGUAUAGGUGAUAGUGGGCAUGAUAGAGACUCUUCAUUAAGUCCUACGUAUAUGUCUGAUGUUACUGUGUUACCCUUCUCUUGGAUUUUGACUGGAACUGACCCUGCACCAGUUCCCACCCUGGAGGACGUGGCUUACCA